This is a non-coding RNA of Maylandia zebra (zebra mbuna), 440 nucleotides long. NCBI's taxonomy places the organism in Eukaryota, Metazoa, Chordata, Actinopteri, Cichliformes, Cichlidae. The record is from RefSeq and is a predicted model, not a curated record.
GGACGCCACUGCUUAAGCUCAAGGAAGCAUAGGUUAUUACAAUAACAGGCGAGUGGAAGACGCUGAGUGGCAGCGUGCAGGUUUCUGCUCCAGGAUUUUUGUUUGACAGUGACAGCAUCUAUUUUUACAUUUUCAGCAUAGAGACAUUACACUGAUAAUCACUGGAAUGAUGGGAGUUCCUGCAUCCUGUGUGGUGGUGCUAACAUUCAUUCUUUACAGCCACAGUUUGAAAAUACAAAGUACUCUGCAUGUGUCUAAAAGUUCUCAGGAAAAUGUUCUGAAUCCCAGUAAAUGUGUGUCCAGGACUAAUCAGCAGCAGAUAAUAGCAAAUCCAUACAACUUCUCUGUGGAUCUUCGCAUGCCUGGUGUUAUCCCAACUGGGGUAAGUGUGUUUCCACUCAAUGUUGGUGUGUGUCUAUCAGUAGGGAUGUGCAAUAUGA